AUAUAUAUAUAUUUAGGUAUAAAGGCUUUGUAUCACAAGUGUAUCUGCACGUUAUUGCCCAAAAGAGGAAUGGUGGAUUCAUGUGGUCCUAAGUGUGGCUUUUAUCUGUAUUUAUGGUCAGUUCUAGUUGCAUAUUCUCUCAUCUCCCCAAGAUUUUAUCUUUUGACUAAUAAAAAAAUUGGCAAUUAAUUAAGUGAAAAACCACUGUGAGGUAUGUGUUGCUCACAAACAUAAAUCAAAUUAGCAUAGGAAUUAAAUGUUAAGCCACCUACUAACAUAUGCUUUAUGAUUUAGAUUUAUGAUGGGUGCUACAAAGGAGGUGGUGGUACCUUAAUUGUCCAAGAGGGUGGAGCCUUCAAGGGCCUCUACCAAAAGGAGGAGGCAGGCACUGGAGUAGAACAGACCAACACUGCUAGACAGGAACCUGGGUGGGGAAAGAUCUGCUUAAAAAGAAAUGCCCAAAUGUUGGACAGUGUACUUUGGGUCAAACCUGUUCAGAAGGGUGUAUUUAAAAAUACUCUAGCUUGGGUGGGAAAUUAUAUACAAAAAAGAAAACUUAAAUUGUGCAGCAAAAGGGGAGGAAAUGUCAAACACCUGGGAGGAGACUUUAGAUGUAGAUUUCAUGCAGGAUUUCUACUUGCAUAGGUUUUAGUGUCAUGGUAAUUUUACUGGACUUGUGCUAAAAUAAAGCACAAUAUUUUAUCAGUACUGCAACGAAAUACAUAUUUUCUGUUUUUCUUCUUCAAAAUGCUUUCCAAAAUGUUUUCCAUAACAGGGAAUGUAAAUGCAGGACAGUGUAUGGUAUAAGUUACACAGAAACAGAACUGGAAACAGUUGAUCAUAAAGCUACAUAAAGAAUGGUGACAACUGAAGGUUCAUAUAGCAGUUUUCCAGAAAGCUGCUAGAAAUAUCAUACAGACCAUGACACGCUACAUAUUCUGUUAAAACCAGGCUGCACUUCAGUGAAUCCCACCAAGAGUGCCCUGAAACAAUCAUUUGGCUUUGCAAAUCAUUUAGGGCAGAAAAGUUUGGGAAAUUUUAUUGUCUAAAACUUGUAGGGGAGGAUACAUGAGUCCUGAUGCACGUCAAUGCAGGAGCAUGUGAGCUUUGCCCAUGUGGCUUGUUUUGUGGCAUUGAGUUUAGGGUAGAAUUCAAAAUUAAUGUUCUUGUUUGUCUUGAAAGUAUUAGGUAGUCUCUGAUUACAGCUGGGUGAGACAUUUUCUUGCUCAGUGAAGAAAUAAAGAGUGGGAAGGUGUACUGUGACAAAUGGCACUUAUUAUUGUUUUUAAAAAAUCAGAUAAUGCCUGAAUCAUCAAUGUAAUAGGUCAUCCUAAGCAGCAAAAAAGAGCAUUUUUUUUCAUUGUGCAAGCUGAUAAUAGGAACAUUUGCCAGGAGAGCUACAAAGGUGGAUGGUAAGUGUGUGAUUAUGCACUAAGUGGUUCUGAUGACAGGCAGAGAAUUCAGAGUAUGAUUGACAGGGUAUUUCAUAUUGAUUAGAGAAACAAACUGUGCUUUGAACAGCUAGACAGCUGGCAGAUUUCUUAAAAAUAACUGAUUUUUGGAAGCUGAAAUAAUUAAGCCUAUUUGUUUGUGCCACAUGGUAAAGUCAUUCAGAACUGCUGCUUGGAAAUCCUACUCAGUGGUUGUUUUCCAGCCGAUCCAUUCAUAGUUUCUGCAACCACCUCAAAUUUUAUUAUGUACCAAGAAUGAAGUUAGUUUCCCCCGGAAAUUGUCAUGUAAUUCAUGGCUUCCCUUGUGAAAAUAUAAAAAUAAAUACUAUAACUUUGUUUCCAUGUCUGUGAUAAAUUUCAGUUACGUAUGCAGUGGAAGAUACUGUACUAUGAUUUCCCAGUGCUAGCAGUGGCUGGUGUAAAACCCUGCAAAUGUCUGCUACACUCUGUUGUUAAUGACUAUUUUAAAAGGACAAAGCCAUAUUUUUCUUCCUUUGUUCAUCUUUCUUGGAUCUGUCAUUAUGAUGUUGGUUUACUGAUUGCUCCUGGAGUCUGAACACAGGCUUGUGUUUCUGUCUCUGAAGACCUUUGGGUACCUUCAUAAGGAGCUUCUGUGGGCUGAUAAAUUAUAAAACCAGCUAAGCAACAAAAAUGUGGCCCAUGGGCCUUUCUGAGGAAAUGCUGGGACAUUGUGUUUAAUGGCAGCACUGUUUUUGUUUUUCCUUUUGAAGAAAUAACUCCUCUGCCUGCACCUGUGUGUUGAGUUGUCUGUAGCUGUAACAUGACGUGUUUGCAGUGGUUAACUUGUGCUGCUGCCCUGAGGAUCAAGGGAAAAGCCAGGCAUGCCCUUUGCCAGGAGCACAGCAGUGUUCCCAGUGUGAUGCCUAUGUUAUUCCCCACUCAGCUCUCCAGCAGCCAGGCAAGUUGGCAGUUGUACAGUGCUGUGGGAAAGAAAGGGCGGCAGAAAAUGCUGAAUGUCUGCUAAUGCAUCUGAGUAAUCACCAUUCUGGGGUUAGAUUGCAGGAAGAUGACAAAAUUGCUGAAUAAACUCUGUUUAGUCUUUUCCCCCCCCCCGCCCCUUUCUUUUUUCCUUUUUUUCCUCUCCAGUAUGAGCUGCCAGUUGUUGUUGCUGCAAUGGACAAUAUAGCCUGUGAAGAGGCAAAAGUUUUCCAUUUGGAAGAGAAACAGAAGCCUGUAUCUUCCAUUCAGUUGGAAUACUGUGAGCAAAUCAACGUGUGUGAACUCCUGAGAACUGCAGGUGUGGGACCUCUCAUAUUAGAAUGUGUGUGUGUGCAGGAACCAGUGGUAUAUGAAGAUGGAACCAUGAAGAGAAAGCAGAAGGAAUAAUAAUGCUUUUCCGAAACCGUUUUCUGUUCUUGCUGGCCUUGGCAGCCUUGUUGGCCUUUCUGAGCCUCAGUCUAC
Molecule: long non-coding RNA, 2873 nt
Organism: Pipra filicauda (Wire-tailed manakin)
Lineage: Eukaryota; Metazoa; Chordata; Aves; Passeriformes; Pipridae
Exons: 3
Source: RefSeq, a predicted model, not a curated record